This 1905-nucleotide long non-coding RNA is filed under the name Taeniopygia guttata (zebra finch). RNAcentral describes it as "lncRNA (ENSTGUG00000020603.1)". Lineage: Eukaryota; Metazoa; Chordata; Aves; Passeriformes; Estrildidae. The record is from RNAcentral.
UUUCGGAUUUUUUGGGAUAUUUUUUGAUUUAAAAAAAAUUUAUUUUAAUUUUUUUAUUAUUUAUUUAUUUUUGGAUUUUUUGGGAUAUUUUUUGAUUUUUAAAAAUUUUUUUAUUUUAAUUUUUUAUUUUUUAAAUUUUUUUUUUGAGAUUUUUUGGGGAUUUAAAAAUUUUUUUUUUUAUUUUUUUUAAAUUUUUAAAAUUUUUUGGAAUGUUUUAAUGCAUGUUUGGGUUUUCUCUGCUAGCCCCUCACACCCCGCGAGGUGCAGGGCCUGCUGGGGGUGAACCUGCCCGAGCUGGCGCGGUGGCAGUUCCAGACUCCCGUGCGCGACUGGAUCGUGCUGCAGCAACAGGCGGAGCUGGACAAGCUCCACGUGGGGCUCACGGGGGGCGUGCAGGAGGGCUACAUCAACCUGGCCAGCCCCAAAUUCCCAGCACCGUCCUCAGCCCCUCUGGGGACCGUGGCCAUGGUGUUCCACCUCCUGCCUGCCCUGCUCCUCAGCUUCCUCAUGGUUUCCAUCCUGUCUUGAGCAUCUCCAUCCAUGAGGAGCCAAGGGGGACCAGCUGUGACCUGCUGAGACCUGGCCUGAGGAGUGCCCACAGCCUGGGACCAGCCCAGGACUCACUUUUAGGUACUUUUGGCUUUCAAGUCAUUGGAAAAAAAACCCAGUUGUGUCUGAAGGGAAGAUUCCAGACUCUGUGGUGUAGGAUCUUUGCCUUUGGGACAGCCCAAGCCCAGCUCAGCCCCAAACCACUGCUAAAUCACGUCUUACUGCUGGGUUUAAGGGUGAGUUCUGCAGGUUAAAAAUGACAUUUCUCAGCACCUGACCUCAUGACACUGCCAAGACCUCAGGGUGGGAGUGAAGUUUUCCAGCUGCUUGUAAAUAAAUCCUGGAACUGAGUAAAAAUGCCAGAAGCAAACUGAUGAGUGUCUGCUCUUCCUUGAGGCUGCCCUCGCCUUCCUGUCUGCAGGAAUCCCCCCAAAUUAAGGCUCAGAAUCCCAGGAUCUGCCUGUUCCUUGGGGUUGGCUGGUCAACAUUUAGGAUGGAAGAAAGGAAUUUUGUACAAGUAUUUCCAUAUUUUUUCCCCAUUCAUUGGAAAUAUCUGUCAAAAAAACCACAAACCCUCAGUGAAACCUGUAUCCAGCUCCUGACAUCCUCCUUUCCUCAAGGAGGAGAGUCUGGGAAGGAAAAAGGGAUUUAUAUAUUUAAUAUCUUAUAAACCUUCACUGUCUGAGCUUUCUAGAGAGGGAGCAGGUCUGUCCUUCUCUGCAGAUUUUGGAUUUAUGCAGGAAAAGCUUCCCCAGAAAGCACUGAACAUCUCAAAGGACACGUUGGAUUAGGAAAAAAGAGCUGAUUGAUGUUUUAUUGUACAGCACUGAACAGUAAUCAAGAUAAAUUAUCUCCAGCUAAUCAUCCCAUGAGAGUCUGUGUGUGUGGUUUGAACAAACCUUGAUCAAAAAGCAGCUUGUGAGAAAAGUUAAACAGGAUUUUUGGGGCUCUCUCAGCUGUGGUGUGGGGCCACCAGUGACUGAAAUCCCUGAGUUUUUCCCAGUGUUUAGCACAUCCCAGUGGGAUGGGAUGGACAGGAAAUCCCUGGAAGAGCUGGGCCCGGUGUUCUUGCCUUGGCAGAGCACUCAGCAUCACUGCUGGUGGUACUACAGGGAGUAAAUCUCUAGUAAGGACCUGUCAGGCUUCUCCAGGCUGGAAAAAUCUGUUCCUCCUUCACUGCCCAGCCUCAAAAAGAACCAAAUCCUGUGGUGGCAUCAAAUGUGGACGAGUUCUCUUGCCUUGCCUGGGGUUCUGCUGUCCAGCAGGGACUUGCCUGGCGCAGUUCCGCUGGGAUGGAGGGAGGGCUGAGCAGGGUGGGGGAUGUUGGGGGGCUCAGGGCAGCCCCCCCAGCAGGAC